Long non-coding RNA from Bombus huntii, 3447 nucleotides. RefSeq lists it as uncharacterized. The transcript has 2 exons. The record is from RefSeq and is a predicted model, not a curated record. NCBI's taxonomy places the organism in Eukaryota, Metazoa, Arthropoda, Insecta, Hymenoptera, Apidae.
AACGAAAGAGAAUCGCGAAAAGUCACCUUUUACAACUCUUUUAACGCUUUUAUCUGUUCAGCCCGUGUAAUGAAAAUUGAAACGAUACGUUUCGUAAAUUCGUAGAUCGGUUGUUGUACCAUGCGCGCUGAACGAUGCCGAGACAUUCAAUCUCAAGAUUUAUCGCAUACAAUUAUAAGCCGAAAGUGAUGAAAAAUUACGAUUUUCAUCAGAUUUUAACGAAAUUAACACGAUAAUAUUUCCAACGCGUAUAAGAUGUAACCGACGUAAAUUUUCAAAAUCCAUUCUUUAAGGUUUCCUUUAUAAAUACAUAAACGUACAUUAAAAAACAGUUGUAGAAGCCAACUUUCGCCAUUUCUCUUUCUUUUCGGAAUUACGACCAGCUGCAAUUUUUUUUACACCUAGUCUAACCAACUAAUUAAUAGGUCUCCCAACUUGUCGCAGAAAUCUAUUUUAGACCGUGUCCGAAUGUUGACGAUGCUAUUCCAAAUUAAUUCAGAUUGAUUUUAAUAUAUCGAAGCUCGGAUAAUUCUUAUUAUUUUAUCUCAACGUCUUACUACCGGGACAUACCGCAACCACUGAUCACGAUGAAUCGUUAAACUGGUAAAACGCAAGUUGCGUGGCAUCGCGUUGUUUCUUUUCCUCUUUAUACCGAUAGAUAGAUCCGUAAUGAACAAAAACGAUUAAACGUGUCAAAUUACUCGGCACUUUUAAAAUGUUUUGCUCGUGGCAGGUAAACGCUUCGCAUUUAGAUAUUAAUUACCUUCCAUUAUCCAUCGGACGAGGAUAGUGUCGAGCAAUAUGCAAUUCGAAAUGCAUAACAUGCACAGUACAUGCACGCAACGUUGAACCAGUCGUACGGUAAGCGUACGUAAUUUUUACGGAAAUUUUAUGGAAUCGAAGGUAAAUUCAAAUUUGUCGCCGCACGUACGAUACGGAUAGCGUGGGGGGAGUAGAUGGACUAACGAUAGCAGGCAGCCCGGAAAAAUACAGCGAGGAGACGGUAACGGAAACUGAGAAAAGACUAGGGAAGAAUGGGAAAGACGAACAAGAGCAAAGAUAGGAUUAGGUAAGAUAGUAAGAAAGUAGCGAUAGUUAGGGAGUAGCAUGGGUUAAGCGAGUAAGCGAUUAAUCGACUUCGCGAAGCGAAGGAGUAGAUGACUGGAUAGCAAGGUAGGUAUUAUAAUUGUAAAGUAAAUCUCUUAAAUCAAAUAAAAUAGCAAUUAUCGGCCACGAUAACGUACGAUACAGAUUCCAACUAUUCGAGAUUCCGUGUAUCUCCUCGGCGUAUACCGUUCUACUAUAGGUAUAGAACCCUAGGAAUUACAUAACGAGCGAGCGUCGCGUGAAACGCGGGUAAUCGACACGGGGGAGAGAGAAAAAAAAAAAAAAAAAAACAGAAAAGGGGAAACGAAGACUCGCAGGCAUAAUUGAAGAUGGAUUCGCGCGAGGAAACGGCUCGAAGCGUAGAUAUCGCGUAUGCACGUGCCAAGUCGUUGGCGACCAGUCUUCCUUCCGUCGCGUCGCAUCGCAUCGUAUCGUAUCGCAUCGCAUCGCAUCGCAUCGCAUCGCAUCGCAUCGCAUCGCAUCGCAUCGCAUCGCAUCGCAUCGCAUCGCACCGUAGAAGAGAACGCCGAGGUAUUAUGCAAGAUAUCGGGAUCCAACCUUGGCAAUGACCACUAACUAUGACGAUUGAGUUGGCACCGGCCUGUGUCUGUCCGUAUCAUUAGCUUGCCGCUAGGAUAAUCGCAGAGUCGGUGGUUCGUGACGACCGAUUCACCACCGGUAGCGUCUUUUUACUUACUAGCACUUUACUCGCGGAAAAAACAAACACCUGCGGCUGGCGACCGGAAAUAAAAUUUCCCACUUUACCGACGCGAUGCUGAUUUCAUUAAUUUGCAUGACUAGUUAUUUAAAAAGCAGGUACAAGUACGAUCGAGGGGAAUAAUAUCGGUACCUAUAACAAGAACGUUACCGAUAAACGGACCAUCUCUGUGAUAAAAACAAUCCUUUGCUCCUGUUUAUACAUGCUGUUUAAGUAGGUUUUAGCGUUUAAGUAGGUAGUAGAAUCAGAUUUUUCUUAUAUUCGCUGUGCGGUGCCAAUAUAAAGAUGUUUGUUCGCGUACGUUCGUAAGGGAUGAAUACAAGUUUGGUUUUAAUUUGGAUGAAAAUAGAGAAUAGAAAUAAGAAAAAGCCUGAUUAUAGAUAUACAUAGGUGCGUACGCUUACUCGAAUUCACUUUGAAAACUAGUUACGCAAACAGCGAUGUAAUUUCUCGAAUAAACGAUAAACUGAAAAAUUCACGUGUUAAUCGAUGCUCGAUUUCUUAGAGUCCAACUCUGAAAUGAAAGAAAUGAAAGAAAGGAAUCACCUAUCGAAAGAGUAGCAAGAGAAAUGUGCUUGCUUGCUUGCUUGCUGUAAUUUCUAAUCGUAAGUAAUGUAAAAUUUCUAUCGUACGUUAGCGAGAGCGGAUUAAAGUGUCUUAAAGAACGCUUCGUAUCCUCGUAACCUAUCGAUGCGACAGAAUCUGGAAUUACUGUAUUUGGAAUUACUCGCUUGUUUCAAAUUCACGUGUUAAUCGCUAAACACCUGACAUUCUCCGAAUGGAGUUUUAAUCUAUCGUAUGACGAUAAUCGUACGUUGUCUAAGCCCCGUCUUACCGUUUCAUUCCAAGCAAGUAGAGCGCCAAGCUGUCCGAGUGUACAAAUCUCGCGACAUUUUGUCAAAUGCAAUUUUUCAUUAAACCUAAUUCUUCCACCGAGUUUAAUCUCGUUUAAUCUGAUAAGCGAAUAAACUUCAAUAAGUUUAUUUAAAAAAAGAUGGGAAUUUUGAUUUCGAAUUUCGCCACUGUUCGCCACACUACUACGCAUGUGUGCACAUGCAUAUACAUUCGUAGUUGGACAAUGAGAAAAGUUUGUGGCGACAUCUAUCCUUUUCGCGCGGAAAGCAAACAAAAGCGAUGGGUUGCCGAUAGCAGAUAUACGUAAUAAGAUCGGAGACGAAUAUACCAGGAACGGGGUUCUGUGCCUCGUCCGUGAUAAGAUGGAGCUCGCAUAAUAAAUCAAACGAAUCGCGUAACUGUUAUUGCGCAACACAGAGAUUUAGCGUCAACGACAGAGUAGCGAUGGUUCGUGACGUCUACGUUCGUUCGAUACAUCGAAUAGAUAAUCGAUACAAACAAAUAAAUAGAUAAAUGUCGGAAAUGACACAAAAAUGAGAAAGACAGUGUUAAAUAAGCGACAGAGAAAUUCUGUAUAUCGUACACUAUUUAUAUUAUCACUGUUAAAUUACAAAAUCCUAUACGCUCUACAAAACUUAAACGUGCUUAAAACAACCAUUUGACUAAAUCGAUUACAAGUUGAUCGUCUUUCGUUAUUUUUAUUGAAUUUUCUCUGUAAGAUCGAUUUUCCUUCUAGUUUAUAAUAAUUUUACGUUACUUACGAUGUA